UUGGGAAUCUUCCACAAUGGGCGCAAGCCUGAUGGAGCAACACCGCGUGAGUGAAGAAGGGUUUCGGCUCGUAAAGCUCUGUUGUUAAAGAAGAACACGUAUGAGAGUAACUGUUCAUACGUUGACGGUAUUUAACCAGAAAGUCACGGCUAACUACGNGCCAG
RNAcentral lists this ribosomal RNA (164 nucleotides) under uncultured bacterium. Its description in RNAcentral is "partial 16S rRNA". It matches the Rfam family "Bacterial small subunit ribosomal RNA", at positions 355 to 511 of the family's 1533-position model. The record is from RNAcentral.